GGCAGCACGAUGUAGCAAUACAUUGGUGGCGACCGGCGCACGGGUGAGUAACGCGUAUGCAACCUACCUAUCAGAGGGGAAUAACCCGGCGAAAGUCGGACUAAUACCGCAUAAAACAGGGGUUCCACAUGGAAAUAUUUGUUAAAGAAUUAUCGCUGAUAGAUGGGCAUGCGUUCCAUUAGAUAGUUGGUGAGGUAACGGCUCACCAAGUCCACGAUGGAUAGGGGUUCUGAGAGGAAGGUCCCCCACACUGGUACUGAGACACGGACCAGACUCCUACGGGAGGCAGCAGUGAGGAAUAUUGGUCAAUGGGCGAGAGCCUGAACCAGCCAAGUCGCGUGAAGGAUGAAGGAUCUAUGGUUUGUAAACUUCUUUUAUAUGGGAAUAAAGUGAGGAACGUGUUCCUUUUUGUAUGUACCAUAUGAAUAAGCAUCGGCUAACUCCGUGCCAGCAGCCGCGGUAAUACGGAGGAUGCGAGCGUUAUCCGGAUUUAUUGGGUUUAAAGGGUGCGUAGGUGGUUAAUUAAGUCAGCGGUGAAAGUUUGUGGCUCAACCAUAAAAUUGCCGUUGAAACUGGUUGACUUGAGUAUAUUUGAGGUAGGCGGAAUGCGUGGUGUAGCGGUGAAAUGCAUAGAUAUCACGCAGAACUCCGAUUGCGAAGGCAGCUUACUAAACUAUAACUGACACUGAAGCACGAAAGCGUGGGGAUCAAACAGGAUUAGAUACCCUGGUAGUCCACGCAGUAAACGAUGAUUACUAGCUGUUUGCGAUACACAGUAAGCGGCACA
This 787-nucleotide ribosomal RNA is filed under the name uncultured bacterium. RNAcentral's name for it is "bacterial SSU rRNA". It matches the Rfam family "Bacterial small subunit ribosomal RNA", at positions 66 to 850 of the family's 1533-position model. The record is from RNAcentral.